Molecule: RNA transcript, 4705 nt
Organism: Eriocheir sinensis (Chinese mitten crab)
Lineage: Eukaryota; Metazoa; Arthropoda; Malacostraca; Decapoda; Varunidae
Gene name: protein RRP5 homolog
Exons: 6
Source: RefSeq, a predicted model, not a curated record
GCUCGAGGGUUUGCUCGUCCAACCACAUUAGCGACAACACCAAGGUCCUCAUGCACAUCAACCGAGACUUCCGGGUGGGCAAGAAGGUCCCGUGUCGCCUCCUCAAGUACAACCACAUGGACCAACUCUUCAUUGUCACACUGCAGAAGUCUGUCUUCGAGCGGCAGUUCAUUGCCUACAGUGAGCUGCAGCCCGGGCAGGUUGUGCAGGCCACCGUCAACAGCUACGACAGCAACGGCGCACGGCUGGCGGUGAGCAAGCUGAUGAGCGGCCACGUGCCCUCACUGCACCUCACGGACGGCCCCAUGAAGCACCCCGAGCGAAAGCACAUCAUGGGGGACCAGGUCACCGCCAGAGUGCUCAAGGUCAACUCCAAGAGACAGCACCUUCUCCUGACCCUCAAGUCCCAGCUGGUUACAGCCAAGGAGCCCAUUCUUACCGAGUACUCGCAAGAGGCGGAGAACACACUCACCAUCAGCUACGUCAUCAAGGUGCUGCCGCAGGGCCUCCUCGUGAAACGACGUGAAAAUGACAUGAAAGGCUUCGUCCCCAGGUCGCAGGUCGGCAUUGAGUCGGGCAUGAGUCUAGCCUCGGCAUUCCACGAGGGACGAGUCGUUCGCUGCAGGGUCCUCAAGGUGUCCCCCGAGAAGCAGAACAUCACCCUCAGUCUCCUGGUUGACGAGGACGUUCAGCCAUUGAGUAGGGCGCCCAAGUCAGCGAGGAAGGUUGAGGUGCGAGCAAGAGUCAGGUGUGUGGUGGACGAGGUGAGGACGCACGCUAUCACAGUCACUGUCCUGCCCCACAACGUCGAGGCUUCCAUACCUGUCCACCACCUCUCGGAUGACCCGAGCAAGUGCCAGCUGCUGAGGGAGGUGCUGAAGGAAGGGGACGAGAUCAUGAAUGCCGUGGUGUUCAGCAAGGUGCCCGGCUCACCCGUCACCCUCACUCUCAAAAAUUGAGAAGGAUGCCUCUCAGGAUAAGGCCAAAGAGGGGGUGGAGCAAGGGGCCGACAGCUCUCCCAGCGAGGACAGCCGCGAGGAGAUGAAGGCCAGUGAGGGUGAUGAGGUGGAAGGUGAGGUGAGCAGUGCCAAGCCUUGCCUCACACUGGGAACAGGCUUUGUGUGGGAAGUUCCCGACACGCCGGAGUUCAUGGACUCCUCAGACGGUGAGGACCAAGACGUGCCAAAGAAGAAAGAGAGGAGAAUGCGGAAGUCAGAAAUAAUAGCCCAGUCCAAGGAGGAGGAGCAACAGUUCUCGCGGCUGGAGGAGGGGCGGGCGCUCGCCACAGUCAGCCAUGGACUUUGAGGCCAUGCUCCAGGGUAGUCCAAACUCAUCAGCCGUGUGGAUACAGUUCAUCAGUUUCCACCUUGAGAGUGCCGAGGUGGACAAGGCCAAGGCAGUGGCACGGCGAGCCUGCAGGUGAUGGACGCACAGGAGGAGGAGGAGCGCCUCAACGUGUGGACAGUGCUGCUGAGGCUGGAGGUGCUCUACGGCGGACCAGAGUCUGUGGCCGAGGCGUACCGGGAGGCACUGGCCACUAACGACCAGCUCAAGGUCCACCUGGCCAUGGCCAUGGUAUAUGCUGAGAGCGAGAAUCCCUGGUAACAUACACUCCCAGGUCUUUCUCUGCCUCUGUGGUGGAUAGUGGAGUGUUUCCCAUGUGGUAUUGGUGUGCUGGAUAUCCCUUCACUGGUAGCCUGGUAACAUACACUCCCAGGUCUUUCUCUGCCUCUGUGGUGGAUAGUGGAGUGUUUCCCAUGUGGUAUUGGUGUGCUGGAUAUCCCUUCACUGGUAGCCUGGUAACAUACACUCCCAGGUCUUUCUCUGCCUCUGUGGUGGAUAGUGGAGUGUUUCCCAUGUGGUAUUGGUGUGCUGGAUAUCCCUUCACUGGUAGCCUGGUAACAUACACUCCCAGGUCUUUCUCUGCCUCUGUGGUGGAUAGUGGAGUGUUUCCCAUGUGGUAUUGGUGUGCUGGAUAUCCCUUCACUGGUAGCCUGGUAACAUACACUCCCAGGUCUUUCUCUGCCUCUGUGGUGGAUAGUGGAGUGUUUCCCAUGUGGUAUUGGUGUGCUGGAUAUCCCCUCCCAAGGUGCAUGACUUUACAUUUUUCUUCAUUGAAUUGUGGCUGCCACUUUUUGUUCCAUUCCUGUAGCUUGGUGAUGUUGUAGGAAAUCUGCAGUCAAGAGGUUAACUCUAUCUUAUGUCCUUAGCAGUAGCCUUCAAUAAGCUUCUGGUGCUAAUGGCGUUGUUUCCCUCCAGGAGGCCGAGAGGGUGUACUUCAACAUGUCCAAGAAGUUCAGUCAGGAGCUGAGUGUGUGGGUGAAGGCGGGAAUCUUCUUCUUCAGUCACAACAUGGCUGGGGAGGGACGUCGCUUCUUUGAGCGGGCGCUGCGCUCUCUCGACAAGAAGGACCAUGUGGAGCUCAUCAACCGGUUUGGCCAGCUUGAGUUUCGCUUUGGGGAGACCGAGUGCGGUCGGACCAUGUUUGAGUCCCUCCUCAGCACCUACUGGAAGAGGCUGGACAUCUGGAGUGUCUGACAGGUGGACCUGCUCACCAAGGCCAAGGACACUGAGGGGGCAAGGUGAGGCUGGUGUGAUGUAACCGUGGGUGUCAUUCUUGCUCUAUAGAUUCUGCUGAGGCCAAGGCUAAAGGGACAACUUUUACAUGGAGGCUUUUUGUCAAGGGGCUAUGUUAUUCCUCAGUCAAAAGUUUUAUGGGGACGAUCAACUUGGACAAGAAUACAGUGGGGUAGUCACAAUAACAUGGUCUUGUUGGGCAUCAUUUUUGCUCUAUAGAUUCUGCUGAGGCCAAGGCUAGAGGGACAACUUUUACAUGGAGGCUGUUUGUCAAGGGGCUAUGUUAUUCCUCAGUCAAAAGUUGUAUGGGGACGAUCAACAAGAAUAUAGUGGGGUAAUGACAUGGUCUUGUUGGGCAUCAUUUUUGCUUUAUAGACUUGAGGGCAUAGCUGGGCAUGAUAACAGAAAACCUUAUUCCCGAUAACCGUUAACUGAUAAUGAAAAACCUUAAUGGCGAUAACUGAUAUUCGUUAACUAGAGACACAAAUAUAGGCGAUAACCGAUAACCGAUACCCGAUAUAAAUCCACAAUUCCGAUACUAGCUAGCGAUAAGUCCGAUAGAUUGAUUGAUUGAUUGAUAGUUUAUUGUUGCAGGUAAACAACAAGGGAGAAGGGAGGAACAUGCCAUCCCAACCCCCAGGCAGGACAGAGUGUGAUUAUACAACUAUUAAUACAUGUGGAGGUAGCACCAUGAAACUAAAAAGAUACAAUGGUAGGAAGGAAAGCACAACAAGGGAGGGGGCGGUACCUCCCCCUGGACAAUAAGACAAUAAAAUGUGGGGACGGAGAACAUUGCCCAAGCACUAGAUGGGAAUGAAUACAGAGAUAGAGUAAAUACUAGUCCUUAAAGUAAAAUGGCGAAAACGAUAUUAUAUUGAUAUUUCAGAUAGAACAACAUUGAUGAAUUCAAAUUUUCAUUAUCUGUAUUUUAGGAAACUUACAAAACCUUAAAACCACACGUUGACACGUACAUAUGGACGUUAAUACUAGAAAUGCCUGAACCGGUGUCGUGUUAUUUGGCGUCCCCACCGUCAAAAAUUGUUUACAAACACUGGUCUCUCGUGAACGGUGCAUGCUCAGACCAGCAAGCAUAGACCUGUACAGUCUCACAAAGCUUUUAAACCGUAAGUAAGGGUUGUUGGAAGGCUGAAUCAGACAUAUAGUACAACUACCACCAUCCUCGCUGUUUCUAGGACGACACUCUGUACGAGUUGUAUUUAUAUGUACAAAGUGUACGUCGUUCUAGAAACAGCAAGGAUGGUGGUACUGUAUGUUUGAUUCAGCUUUCCAGCAACUCUUAAUGUGUUAAAAAAGCAUUGUGAGACUGUACAGGGCUACACUUAAUGGUUUGAGCAUGCGCAGUUCACGAGAGACCAGUGUUUGUACACAAAAGCGCCAGCUUUUGACGAUGGGACACCAAAUAACACAACACCGGGUGCCUUCAAUACCAUGACAUGCUCACCAACGAAUAUGGAAUAUCAAAUUUGAGGCAGUGAAUAAUCAUUUUUGGGGCAAAGUUAAAUGAUUUUGCUCAAUGAUGUAUUGAUUUUUGAGUAGCAUAAAAAAUAAUAACCUAGUGUUUUAAUUUUCAUGACCUAAGCAUGAAAUCUCAUCACCGAAGCUAUUUCAUACCCCGAAGUUUUUUCAUACAACACCGGGCCACGCAUGCGCAGUAAGGAGACAAAAAAAAUUUCCUGAGAGGCGGAAAAAAAGUAGCGAUUAUCGCUAGUUUGGUUACAAAAGUAACGAAGAUACCGAUAUAUAUUUAAAUAAGUAGCGGAUGGUCGAUAAUCCGAUUUUGUUAUCAGCGAUAAAGUAUCGCGAUAACUUAUCGCGAUAACGCCCAGCUAUGCUUGAGGGACUGUACAUAUGGACUACAAUCUAGAGGCAAAUGCAGGAUACUCACUAAGCACAGCUGAAAGAACAUUAUAUUUGUAAUGGAUACUGCUUGUGUUGUUUUAUUUUUACAGGUUGUGCCGAUGCGAAGGCCUGACUCUCCAACGGGUCACCUGUACAGCAAGAGCAAGAGAGAGGCCAAAACAAACCCCGCCAUUUAAUUUAUUUCUUGUUUUUUCAUUUUUUUCACGUGUUGUAUGAAUGGUGGAUGAAACAUGUGGAGGCUGUGGAA